RNAcentral lists this long non-coding RNA (338 nucleotides) under Lathyrus oleraceus (garden pea). Its description in RNAcentral is "Pisum sativum (pea) long non-coding RNA (PSAT_LNC004810)". Lineage: Eukaryota; Viridiplantae; Streptophyta; Magnoliopsida; Fabales; Fabaceae. The record is from RNAcentral.
AGAGGUUUCUGAAGUUCUCUGCAAUUUCUUAAGUCCAAGUUAGAUAAUUUUAUUUAUAAAAAAAAUAUGUUGCAGAAUGCUUAAGGUUUUAGACAAUAUUUUCAUCAGAGCUAAUAAUUACUUCUCCCCCUUUUUGUCAGAAUCAAAAAGACAUAGUAAAAAAAAAUAAAGAGAAAAUAAAUAAAGAGAAAAACUUGAAAUUCAUAGAUAGAAGCACAAAGGCAACAAACAAAACAUCAGAUUCAAAAGGAACAAGAAAAACAUCAGAUCCAAAAGAAGACAGAAGCAAAAAAAUAGGCAAGCAAAAAAUAAAAUCCUAAGUGCCUAAGGGUUCGGAG